Molecule: ribosomal RNA, 292 nt
Filed under: uncultured bacterium
Lineage: Bacteria
Description: partial 16S ribosomal RNA
Rfam family: Bacterial small subunit ribosomal RNA
Source: RNAcentral
GUGCCAGCAGCCGCGGUAAGACGGAGGGUGCAAGCGUUGUUCGGAUUGACUGGGCGUAAAGGGCGUGUAGGCGGUUGCCCAAGUCCGAUGUGAAAGCCCGGGGCUUAGCCUCGGAAGUGCAUCGGAAACUAGGCAGCUGGAGCGCGAUAGAGGAGGGUAGAAUUCCUGGUGUAGCGGUGAAAUGCGUAGAUAUCAGGAGGAAUACCGGCGGCGAAGGCGGCCCUCUGGAUCGUUGCUGACGCUGAGACGCGAAAGCGUGGGGAGCAAACAGGAUUAGAAACCCUCGUAGUCC